This 163-nucleotide ribosomal RNA is filed under the name uncultured Pseudomonas sp. RNAcentral describes it as "partial 16S ribosomal RNA". It matches the Rfam family "Bacterial small subunit ribosomal RNA", at positions 373 to 528 of the family's 1533-position model. The record is from RNAcentral. Lineage: Bacteria; Pseudomonadati; Pseudomonadota; Gammaproteobacteria; Pseudomonadales; Pseudomonadaceae.
GGGCGAAACCUGAUCCAGCCAUGCCGCGUGAUGUGAAGAAGGUCUUCGGAUUGUAAAGCACUUUAAGUUGGGAGGAAGGGCAGAUGCUUAAUACGUUGCUACCUUGACGUUACCGACAGAAUAAGCACCGGCUAACUUCGUGCCAGCAGCCGCGGUAAUACGA